RNAcentral lists this ribosomal RNA (418 nucleotides) under uncultured microorganism. Its description in RNAcentral is "bacterial SSU rRNA". It matches the Rfam family "Bacterial small subunit ribosomal RNA", at positions 9 to 423 of the family's 1533-position model. The record is from RNAcentral.
GAGUUUGAUCGUGGCUCAGAUUGAACGCUGGCGGCAUGCCUUACACAUGCAAGUCGAGCGGCAGCAUGAUCUAGCUUGCUAGAUUGAUGGCGAGUGGCGAACGGGUGAGUAAUACAUCGGAACGUGCCCUGUAGUGGGGAUAACUAGUCGAAAGAUUAGCUAAUACCGCAUUACGACCUGAGGGUGAAAGUGGGGGAACCGCACGGCCUCAUGCUAUAGGAGCGGCCGAUGUCUGAUUAGCUAGUUGGUGGGGUAAAGGCCCACCAAGGCGACGAUCAGUAGCUGGUCUGAGAGGACGAUCAGCCACACUGGGACUGAGACACGGCCCAGACUCCUACGGGAGGCAGCAGUGGGGAAUUUUGGACAAUGGGGCAACCCUGAUCCAGCAAUGCCGCGUGUGUGAAGAAGGCCUUCGGUU